CUACGGGAGGCAGCAGUGGGGAAUAUUGCACAUGGAGGAAACUCUGAUGCAGCAACGCCGCGUGGAGGAUGACACUUUUCGGAGCGUAACUCCUUUAUUAGGAAGAUAAUGACGGUACUUAGAAUAAGCACCGGCUAAUCCGUGCCAGCAGCCGCGGUAAU
Molecule: ribosomal RNA, 161 nt
Filed under: uncultured Arcobacter sp.
Lineage: Bacteria; Pseudomonadati; Campylobacterota; Epsilonproteobacteria; Campylobacterales; Arcobacteraceae
Description: partial 16S ribosomal RNA
Rfam family: Bacterial small subunit ribosomal RNA
Source: RNAcentral